Molecule: long non-coding RNA, 4237 nt
Organism: Anolis carolinensis (green anole)
Lineage: Eukaryota; Metazoa; Chordata; Lepidosauria; Squamata; Anolidae
Exons: 3
Source: RefSeq, a predicted model, not a curated record
AUACACUUUGCUGAAUGCUGUUUACCCUAACAAACAUUUUCUACGUUUCUCUAAGGUACCUAUCUAGGUACACAUUUUUGUUUAUUUUGAGUGGAAGAUGUCAUUGCAAAAUUCAGAGCACUGCAAAAUCCAGAGGCAAAUUACGCUGGUUCAUAUUACCAAACCAGAGUAAUUGCUCCUUCAGUCCGACCAUGGGAAGGUUCACAUCCCACCCUUGACUUACAUUAUUUUUAACUUUGAUGGCAGUCUCUAUUUUCCUGAGUCGCUUUUCAGCAGAACGUGUAAUACCUACUCUUCCCUUUCUUUGUGUUGAGUGUGGGAGUUCACAUCCUCCACUUCUUCCUUCUCAUAAGUCAAUUCCCUGAAAAUGCCAACAUUACAAUGAGAGAACAAAGAAUCCCACAAGUCUUGGUGUGUUUUAAUGGGGGAGGGCUAAGAUAAGGGCCAGGUUCAUUCAUGGUACAAUAGUAUUACACAAAGAUUUAGGAAAAAGUGCCAAAGCAAAGUUUUGUUCACCCACUUACAGUGCCUAAUAUUGUUUAGUGCUGUUCUUUUCUUUCUGUCUGCACAUCAUCAUUUACCUUCUUGUUAAUAUGACCACCCUGCUUUCAGUCUCAGAUGACCCGCAGCACAAUCUGAACUCAGAAACAGUUAAAUUGAUUUUAUUCCUUUCAGAAUUUUCUCCUGCUUUCUCAAAUGAGUUUUGAUUACAUUACUUCAUUUAUUUUUAGAGUAAUUUCUUUCUUCCAAUAAGCUGAAUGUGGUGUUAACAGUACUUCACCUUUUCACUUGGGUCUUCACAAAAACCCAUUGUUGAUUCAAUCUGAUGGUGUGGUCUUUUAGGUGAUUGUUCGGUUGUUUCUAGUUUAUGGCAAACCUAUCACAAGGUUUUCUGGGGCGAAGUGUUUGUGGUUUACACAAGGUUACCAAGUGGGUUUCUGAGGCCAAUAAGGGAAUCAAGCCCUGGUUUUCUGAGUUGUAACCCAACAAUCAAACUACUACACUAUGCUGGCUCCUGGUGAUGUUGUUUAGGUUGGGAGAAAAUGACCAGCCCAAUGUCAUCCAGGGAAUUUCAUGCUUGAAUGGAAACUAGAACUCAGAUUUCCUAAGCCAAAACCCAGCACUCUAACCACUAUACCACAAUAUAACUUCACCCACUUUCUAUCAGCAACACUAUCAACUGACCAUUCUAUCAAUUGACCCUUUAAAAACAUUGUUUUCCUGGUUAAAAUUACCCUUUAUACUACUGUUAUCCUAGGGGAGAGGCAUAUAUCUUAGUAUUAAGGAUCAGAAUAGAAGUGUAAAUUCAAUGGACAUAUGGUGCAGGGAAGGGUUAACUCCCCCCUUUUCCUAAUCAAAUUGCUAGCCUUCUUCUACAUGUCUGCUUUCAAGUAAAACAAAAGACACAGGAAAAGUAAAUCACAGCUCUUCCACAUUAUGUGUAGUUGCACUUAUUUAUGAGUUACACUUUUGACUCUCCCUAUAAAUCUGAGGUUUUGACUAAUAAGAUAAGAGACAAGCCUUUAAAAAUUGAGAUUCUUAAAAUGGAAUCAAAUGGCUGGUAUUAUUUUUCACGUUUAGUACAUUAAAAGCCCAUCACUGGACUCCUCGGUUCUCGUUUUUCUUCCUCAAUUUCAUUUCUUAAAUGUUGCAGACCUCUCUUUAUAACUCAUCAUCUCAUCAUAUCUCACCUCUAUAUCUUUCUUUUUCAUUGAUACUUUUUUCUACCCAUGAUUGCUAAAAUGUCUGCUCAUUUUACCAAGAUCUCACUCCUCCUUUCAAUUUCUUUCUAUGUGAUCCCUCAUUCACUGCAUUUUGCUCAUUUUAAUCUUCAUUGUCCCGCACAUCUCACAACAGCUUUGGUUUCAUCUUCUAUCCCAUUUUGGAUUUUUCCCCUCUUUUCGGCCACAUGCUUGGAACAUUUUACAUUAUUGUUUUUUUCUUUUUUUCUUUUCAUGAUUGACUGGUUUAUGUUGUGCAUUUCCUUCCAUGAUUCUUAAGCUGUCUGUUUUUCUCUGUUUAUAGUAAUUUAUGGCAUAAUGUGCUCACGCUCUCUCUCCCUCUCCCUCUCCCUCCCUCCCUCCCCCUAUCUCUCUGAUGUUAUUAUUCUCCAAACACAAAUAGAUGCAUCUAGGUGGCCUAGGUAGAACCCUUCAAGCAAUUUAAGAACUAUGUGUAAGCAAAGACUCUUUCCUUCCAUUAUCUUAAGAUCAGAGGCCAAAUAGGCAGCCGAUGGAGGGCUGAGAAGAACCAGAUGAGAACAUCCCCUCAAGAAUGAUGCUGAACCUCCUUUUCUCCAGGCUCAACCCAUCCUACCAAACCAACAGCUUGAUUUCAUUUCCAGAAGAUGAGAAAACCAAUCUUCUCUGGGGACCACAUCCAAUCAUAGAUUUGGAAGACUCCAAAGAGCACAGGUGGAUGACAUAUCCAACCUCCUCACAGACCAACAGGUGGGAUGCAACAAUCAGAAGCAGGACUUGUGUCACAAUUUCUUGUUACAGCCCUGGUAACUUGUGUCAAGGGAAGAACACCUUGUCCUCCAGAUUACAAUGGACAACCAAAGAAUUCACCAUUUCUUGCUAUCCAGUAAGGCAGAUAGGUGAGUCAGGCCAAGAGAUUAUAUUAAGCUAAACAUUUAUUAAAAAGAAGGUGAUCUAGAAGGUGAGCUUUUGUAUUUGAAUGAUUGAAAUGACUAAGUAUACUGAAGUAUACUGAAACAUCAAAUUAUACCUCAUAGAGAAUUUUCUAACCAGGAGAAAAAAGGUCAAAGUGAGGAAUGGGAGCUAUACAGCUCCAGAGAUGUGGUUACAGCUCUCUACAUGUGGUUUGGAGGCUUCUUUUGAGUUGCCCUGAGUCCCCUUCAGAGUGAGAAGGGUGGGAUAUGAAUUCAGUAAAUAAAUAAAUGAAUAAUUUUACUCUCCGAUGGACCAUUGUUUAUAGCUAUGGGAUGAGUUAGCCUUCUGUUCUUCUCUUUCAGCACCAACAUCCUCUUCUGGAAACCUCUUGUCAGGCUCCAAUGAAAGAAGAGGGAAGGUGAAGGGAUGUGAAGACAAAUGGAAGUGUAGUCAGGAGAAAACAAAUCAUAUCCAGUAAGGAAGGUCUGUCUAAAAGAGAUGGACAAGUAAAUAAGGAGUUAAAACCAAAAUCUGCCAUCCCUGACAAGCCAGGCCGCAAGAUCAAUCUGGUGCAGCAAAUCCUGGAAUCCAUCCCAGUCUUCCAUCCCUAGGAGUUGAAGUUCCCAAUCCUCCUUAAAAAGAAGCCAUUGUGGGAAAGGGGUUAGGGAAGCCACUUUCCCUGAUACCACAGGCUUCCACCUCAACAGCAAGGCCACCUGGCUAUUUCAUGACCCAGCCACCAUCAGCCAAAAUGAGGCCAUAUCACCUGAAAAAAAGACCUUCAGAAAUUCUCUCCACUUAUCUAAGAAUGGAGCCAAUGCAAUACCAGCACACCUAUGUACCCAUAGUAGCCGGGCAGGUGUUGCAACCCUAGCCCCACCCUUCUCUCAGCCUCCCCAAACCAGCAGAGAGAGACAGAUCUUCUCAAGAGCUGCAGUCCUCCCUUCCCUCACUAUAGCUGUGGUGGAGAGCAUGCAGAGACCCACCAGCAGACCCUCCAUCUCAACCUGACCUUCAUCCCCUGGAGGACACACACUCUCAACGUGAAGAUCUCCUGGACCAUCAUGGAUAAGCAGCGGCUCAAUCAGGAGUGAAUCAACUGCCGGGAAUAGAGAGGGAGGGAGGCAGCCCAUUGAACCAAGCUGGACAGGGUCCCCUUCUUUGAGCAGAGGGAGAAACACUCCACUUCUUUGAGCAGAGGGAGAAACACCUGGUGAUCUCUAAUUAUUACAGCUACUCUGACAAGAACUUCAAAGUUAAAUGAUGACCAUGUUGGAUGAGGUCGAUGGAAGCUGAAGAUCUGGAAUUUCCAAGAUUCCUCAUUCUUGAUUUAAUUCUCAUUUACUAAAUUUAAUUCAUAUGGAAAGUUUGUAGUUUUAAAAAUAAUCACAGACAGUACUAAUGUAUAUACUACAUAGCCAUGAAGUCUUGGCAGUUGUUUAUAUUUAAAAUAUCUGUUUAUGUACUUUGUAUUUUUUUUUGUUUCUCUUGAAUAAAAAAUUACCAAAAAAAAUCAUAUUAUCAGACAGCAGAAUGUUUAACAGGCAUGAUCCAGUUUCUAGCUAUGAUAUGUUAAAAAGAGGAAAACAAUGGAAGGAAAAAGUAAGAGGGACAGAUUUUGA